Equus caballus (horse) is the source of this 5714-nucleotide non-coding RNA. The record is from RefSeq and is a predicted model, not a curated record. NCBI's taxonomy places the organism in Eukaryota, Metazoa, Chordata, Mammalia, Perissodactyla, Equidae.
AAAAAAAAAUAAUAGUAAUAUAUGGAAAUUAAACUGGCCAGCAUUUGAAAGAACGAAUAAAGAAGAAAAGACUGCUACAACAGUAUAGAGACUGCCUCCCCCUAGGACCCUUUCUUCAACAUCAGAAGGGGAGAAAAAAAAAGGAACACUCAUCCAGAAUCUGAAUUCUGUCACCCCAGAUGAAACAGGACUAAGCUGGCAUGCUUCCCUUAGGAGAAAAAGCCUUUUACCUGAGUGGUGAGUGGGGCAGGGCCCUAUUUAAGACACAAGAGGACAAGCCCCUCCCCUCUGGUAGGGGAGUGCCGUGCACACAGCCUCCUGUUCCUAAUCCCUCCUCCCACAGCAGGAGGCACACAAGUGCAUCACUUGGCACAGGAGUGGGGGCCAGGAGUGGUCGGCCCACUUGCCAACUGCCUUAAAAAGGAAGACCAGGGAUGUCAGGAUGAAGGAGUGGAACCCAAAGGGAGAUGCCAUCAUGAGGAACCAAUGAGGGAUCUGUGAGUAGGGAGGCGCCGGGGAGGAGGGGUAGAAGGAUGAAUCCUGGGAGAUCAACAUCUCCUGUGAGGGAAAUAACACAGUGGAGCCAGGUUCUAAGUCCAAAUCUAGGCCUGACCAGGAACCUGAGCCACACCAGACACCAAUCACCCAGCCAGAACCUGGGCCAGAAAAGGCAUCUACAGCCCUGACAGCAUCUAAGACUCAGCAGGAACCCAACACCCAACAGGAGCCUGCCUCACAGCAAAGACCCCUCACUCAGCAGGAGCCCCUUGUUGAACAUGAAGCUGAAUCCCAGCAGGAGCCAAAACCCAACAAAAAAAAAUGCUUUGCUGCAGGAAUUUCUUGCCGCACAGGAGCCUGCACCACAGCAAUCACCUCCCACCCAAGGAUGCCCCUCACUCAACAGGAAGCUGCCUUGCAGCGGAGACCUGGGCCAAGAAUAGAAUCUAGAAGUCAACAGGAACCACACUUGAGACAGGGAUGUGCAGCCCAGACAGGAUCUGGCCCAGGAGAGCCACUUCUAGCUCAGCAAGAAGCUGGAUCAACACCUCCAGACCAGCCUAGACAUGGACCCCAAAAUGGACCACCUGCCCAGAUUGAAUCUAUGUCCCAAGAGACACCAGGACAGUCAGACCCUACAGCCCAGCCAACAGCUCCAGCCCAGGGAGCCAAAUCCCAGCAGGGAUCUUUCAUGGAGUGGGGAUUUCUGUCAGAACUGAAGGAACUGUCCUCACAGCAACCAGGCUCAGAGAGGAAGACAUGCUUUGAGUGCGUCGCAGAUCCGGAUUCAGAAUCAGAUUAGGGGUCUCUGUUAGGGACCGAUUUGCUAGCCACGAGGGGUGGGACAGUACAGUGGCCCAGGAAACGAAGCUCAUCUUCAAGGGGAAGUCUGGUUAUGGAGUGAUGUCAGGAUAUGGUGGGACAUCAGCACCUGGGAGGAACAGCCCUAGCAAGAAGCACAGACACUACCGACACACGAGUGAGUGUGAGCCUGGGGGACAGGGAGCCUCCCAGGACAGUCAUUCAUUCAGUCAGGGGUACUAAGGACCACCGGUAUGUCAGUUAGCCCGGGUGAUCCCUCCCCAGUCCUGCCAGACAAAGAGCCCCAGCCCCAGUGACGGAUGAGGAAGCUGACGCCUAGAGAAGAGAAGGCUGUGCCUGAGGCCCAGCCAGGACCCAAGCCAGGGUGGGAUUUAUUCCCCUGCAACAGGCUGCCCCCCACGGAGGAUUGGGGGGCAAUCACACAGAAGUGGGCAAGGGCUCCGGGCUGGGGUCCAGGAAACCAGGGAAGCUGCCCUCCUGCCAGUAUCCACCCAUCCGUCCCCAAACCACCCAGCACAGCCCUGUGCAGACACCGCCACAGGCACUGGCGACACAGGCUGACGCGAACCCUUACCCUCGGGGGUUCCGUCCUGACUUAGGAUCCUGAGCUCCCAGGAAGACACCGCUCCCCGGCCAGGCUGCCCCCCAGGGGAGUCGCAGGCCAGCCAGGCUCAUGGCCUUGGGGGUGUUCUCAGGAAGGGAGCCUGCGAGAGGGGCUGUGGGGUCCGCCAAAGUCCGGGCAAGGUCGGGGCUGGAUGGAGGGGGCAGCGGAGGGGGGGACGGGCCAGGACUCGGCGGCCGCCAGCUCUCCCUCCCCUCCUCCGAAGCGGGCAGGGGCCCGGCGGUGCAGGCUCAGCUCCCGCUCAGGCCCCGACCCUCCUUCCCUGGGCUCAGAAGCCCGCCAUGCAGAAGGCAGGCGCGCAAGUUCCAUCCGCGGACAGAGGGGUCCCUCGUUGAAGCGGCCUGAGGGCAAACAGGGCAGCCCAGUCGGGCGAGUCCGCAGGCCGCCAUGCUGCUCUCGCCGAGGCCUGUCCUCCCGGAAGGGCUGCGUCUCUGAGGGCGGAGGAGAAGUCGGAACGGGAGUCUCUCAGGGCUGCUCGCCGGCAUUGCGAGGGCGGGGAGGAGGGUCAGGAGGGAAAGAAGGUCCCAGUUCUGCUUUUUCCGGCGCUGACGAUGAAGAGCUGUUUCUUCAGGCCUCCAGAACCCAGGCUCGAGGGACGCCCUCUCCACAGCGCCGCCACAGACCAGGCCGCUUCCCCUCAGGCGCCCGAGACGCAGUUGACUGUGUGCGCAUGCGCGAGCCUCGAGCGUCGCCUGUUUCCCGCCUUUUCACAGGCACGCGCCCCUCCCUCUACCGCCGCUCCUCCCUGCGGGCCGCGCGUGGCUUGGGGCUAGUGCGCAGGCGCAGAGUAUUCUCCUUCCCCUCCCUCACUAUUAUCGCGGGGAGGGAGAAAGCAAAGAACCCUGAGGAAGAGCAAUGAGAGAACUAGGAGACAAAGAGCGGCGGGGGGGGGGGAGGGGGGGAGUAGAGGCAGGGCUUCCUUCUCCAAAGGCUGGCAGGCAAGCCACGCCUCCAGCGCUGGGGCCCCGCCCCGGCUUUCAAUCGCCGCAGGACCUAGCCCUCCCCCCACCCCCAAGCGGAGGCUCCGCGGCGCCCCACUCUCCCAAACCAGCGGGCGGGCUGGGUCGCGUUGUAGGAUCCCUUCGUGGGAAGGCUCCACAGGUGAAUGGAUAUGCCUCACUGGGGACAGUGCAGGCGGGAACCUCUGCUUCACCGUGUCCCUUUGGGCAGCAGCCUAUGGAGUGGGGAUACCAGAUUACCAGAUGGCAUCAUGGCAGCCUACCCGGCCACAAUGCUGCAGUCUACCACCUCUCCUUCCCGCCUCCUGAGCCUCAUGGACCCCCUGCUGCCCCUCAGCGUGCUCUCCAAGUGUGUCAGCGCCUAUGCUGAUUGGUUAUGGAUUAUUUGCAUCGACAUUUCUUGUCAUAGUCACGGCAGGAUUUCAGAGAAACCCACUGGAGACCACCUGGAAUCUACACUGAACCAGCAUUUGGUACCAAUAGGGGUCAUUGAGCAUCCCUGGAUCACUGCAUUCUUCAGGUGACCCUGACCUGCCAGAAGGACCUAGAGAGGGUAGAGGAAAUGUUCUUCCUCCCCUAGUGUUUGGCAACUUGGAUGAGAUAAAACUUCACUGGCUGGACACUGCUCACUCCUGGACUACUGCACCUGAGAGAUCCUGGACCCCUGAUAAGAGCCAGCAGGAGAAUUUGGAAACUUUAAUGAGAGGAGGCUCAGCACAUAGCAAGGAAGGGCAGCAGUGCUUGUGAGCCUUUCUGGGGCAGAAGCUCAUCUCACAGAGGGAAGGUCAGAGCAGGCAGCAGACGCCAUGGAGACCCCUUCAGCCACCGCCCACAGAGGGCACAUCCUACAUGGGCUCCUGCUGGCAGAGCCAGUGUUAAAGCCCUUCAUCCGAGUCAGCAUAGGACAUAAGGACCCCAGUCACAGAACAUAAGGACCCCAUGGAUCUGAUCUGCCUCACAAAUGACUCUGGGAUCUCCAUCCAGUGUUUCUUCAAUGACCAGAGUCUGCAGCUCACAGAGAGAAUGACGCUAUCCCAGGACAACAGCACCCUCACCAUAGAAUGUGUCAGGAGGGAGGAUGCUGGGGGUUAUCAGUGUGAGGUCUCCAACCCGGUCAGUUCCAGCAAAAGUGACCUUCUCAGGUUGGAUGUGAGAUAUGAGCCUGGCCCUCUGGCUCUCUUACCCUCAUCUAUCUUAUUAAACUCUGAAUAGAUUUCUUUUUCUUAUCUGUAAAAUGAUAGUUCUGAAACACUUUUUAAGUAGAGUUGUAAUCAUCAAUGGUGAAGGUGGAAAUGCCAUAGAAGACUUGCAUUGAGUCAAUAAACACAAAACAAUGUGAACUGACUUUGUCAUUAUUGUCACAUUCUUAAGGUCACAUUCCACUCCAGAUCGCAGCACUUGUGGGUCUCACUGGCACCAUCUCCACAGUGGAAGGACAGGCAGUGGCUUUGCAAUGAGGGGUGGGAGCACAUGAUAACCUCUCAGGAAUCACAGCUCUAUCCCUCCUCCAGGGGGAGGCAUGGAUGGCACCAGGACUAUGACACAGACAAUGGGAAUAGACAGGAGGACAUCCAUGUGGAUUUCAACACUGAUCUCUUUCUCCCCAUCUGAUUCCUCUCAAAGAAUUCCUGAAGUCUUUCUGAGUAUCCUUAUUUUCAUGGCAAUAGACUUAUUGUGUGGGAUCAGUACAACCCUGUCCUCCUUGUUACUAGAAUAUCAAUAGAAAACUUGCUGGUAGACCCUCAGCUCUGAGUCAAAUGUCCUAGUGGAAAACGAUGCCCAUGGGAUCCGAUAUGACCCACACUUUAAGGAGCUAAGGUUGACUUGAUGGGUAUUUUGGGGAUCUGGAGAAGAAAAGACGUCACUCAAAGCUGUAGAGACUGCAGGUGAGUCCUGAUGUCCAGGCUUCUUAGUGUCAAGAAGCUGUUAAAAGUCCCAUCUGAGGUUCCUUAGGAAAACCUGCAUCAGAGGAAACUGUGUGGUGAGUGUGCAAUCCCACAGCACCUGUGCAAAUAAUCAGGCCAAAUGGAGUGAGAGCAGCCUUGUUCCAGCAUCAAGAACACUCUUCCUUGGAGAUGAUCUUUGUUCAAAAGGAAAGUGACCGUUGGAGAAAUGUUGUGUUUCCAUGGAAAAGUCCAGCAAGCAGAAUGUUGUGAUGAUCAGAUUGUGGCCCUCUUCACUGUUUCUCUGCUGUUUUGCAUCUCUGUACAAACUGCAGGGAACUGGUGGAGACGCAGACUGGGUUUUAGCUGAUAGAGAUGGAGUUGUGUUUCCCUCCUCCUGUGCAGAAGGCAGUUGACCUAGAGGCCUGAUAUUCCCCUCAGACUCACUCAACUUCAGACAGUUCUUCCUCACUUUAGGCCUCUGGCCUCCAUUUUCUCAGAGCAUUUCCUUUAGAAAUGUAAUUGCAAUCUGGCAUUGCAGAUUCUUUCUCUGCAAUUUUGAAAUGUAUAUAAGUCUCCUUCAAAUUUUCUUCCCAGUUUUAGGACCCAGGGGAUGUCUUUCUCAAGGGCCUGGGCCCAUCCCUUUGAAACGUAAUCCUCCUGGGAGAUCCUGCCCCUGCCUCCCAGUCUCUGAGGGAGGGCAGGAGCCUAACUUGGGUGGAUCCCUUUACAACCAGGGUAUAACACUACCUCCUGUCAGAAUUUCAUGAGAAGUUUUACUUUCCUUUGGGUAAGACUGAUUAGUAAACACAAGUGGCCCUCAUUUGCCUCAACCUGCUUUUAAAAUCUCUCCAGCCUUCUGUUUCAGGGGUUAAGUUCAGUCUCUCCUCUAUUGUGCUGGUCUUGAAUAAAGUCUUUCUGCCUCUUUAA